Molecule: unclassified non-coding RNA, 309 nt
Filed under: uncultured Bryobacterales bacterium
Lineage: Bacteria; Pseudomonadati; Acidobacteriota; Terriglobia; Bryobacterales
Description: contains 16S-23S intergenic spacer region
Source: RNAcentral
UCCCCGUUCACCGGGGCAGUCCCCUCAGAGUGCCCGGCAUGACCCGGUAGCAACAGAGGGCGAGGGUUGCGCUCGUUGCGGGGUAACCGUGUUUCCACGAUCGUUGACCAGCCGUUCGAGCCCAGGUAAGGUUCUUCGCGUUGCGUCGAAUUGAACCACAUGCUCCACCGCUUGUGCGGGCCCCCGUCAAUUCCUUUGAGUUUCAGCCUUGCGACUGUACUCCCCAGGCGGCAUAUUUAACGCGUUAGCUCCGGCACAGACAGAAUGAACUGCCUACACCAAAUAUGCAUCGUUUAGGGCGUGGACUAC